Molecule: non-coding RNA, 695 nt
Organism: Camellia sinensis
Lineage: Eukaryota; Viridiplantae; Streptophyta; Magnoliopsida; Ericales; Theaceae
Source: RefSeq, a predicted model, not a curated record
UGGGAAAAAAAAAGGAUUACUGCAACAUUUAAGUCUCUUUAUUACAUUGUAAAUAAAGGUCAGUAACUUUCCUUUUAGGAAAAGGUAAUCAUAUUCUUAUUAAAGGAUCUUGGAUUCUAAAAUGUUUUGACUCGUAAUGCUUGUAUGGAGGUCCUAGAUAGUAGAAAAAAGAUGUCAUAAUUUGAUUUUUGAAUGCUAUAUUAUGAAAAUGUCUCUUCCUUUCUGUUGUUUCAGUUUGGCUAUUAAAGCUUAAGAAGGUAGAUAUAUGCAUGUUCAUGUUAGUUUCAAGUAAAUACUGAUACAUUUUUUGUGUAAUGCAGAGAAUCCAUAUAUUGGAAGCACUAAAGGCCUUUAGUGAUAUGGGAAUGACUGGAGCAAUCAAAGGGUAACAUUGCGAACAGAGAAAGGAUGUAUACAAAACACAGGUGUGGUUCUAGGUCAAUCCCUGUUAGAGUAGAAAAAUUGAUUGGAUUGGGGUGGCAUUUUUGACGUGCAACAAUGAUCUAAUUUGCUUGAAUGUCCAUUUUUGUUUGAUAAGAUUACACAUACUUUGUGGAGUUGCACUAGUUGUUGUUGGAUUUUUGGUAAAAUUGAACAAGUUAUAACUUUUGGAUAUUUUGUGGAUAUUUCACUAUUUUAUUGUAUUAGGAUGAAAUUAUUUGUGAUGAUGAAUGGAUAUUUUCAUUUUGUUAAUU